RNAcentral lists this ribosomal RNA (495 nucleotides) under Proteus mirabilis. RNAcentral's name for it is "bacterial SSU rRNA". It matches the Rfam family "Bacterial small subunit ribosomal RNA", at positions 38 to 519 of the family's 1533-position model. The record is from RNAcentral. Lineage: Bacteria; Pseudomonadati; Pseudomonadota; Gammaproteobacteria; Enterobacterales; Morganellaceae.
GGCCCAGGCCGGCAGCUACACAUGCAGUCGAGCGGUAACAGAAGAAAGCUUGCUUUCUUGCUGACGAGCGGCGGACGGGUGAGUAAUGUAUGGGGAUCUGCCCGAUAGAGGGGGAUAACUACUGGAAACGGUGGCUAAUACCGCAUGACGUCUACGGACCAAAGCAGGGGCUCUUCGGACCUUGCGCUAUCGGAUGAACCCAUAUGGGAUUAGCUAGUAGGUGAGGUAAAGGCUCACCUAGGCGACGAUCUCUAGCUGGUCUGAGAGGAUGAUCAGCCACACUGGGACUGAGACACGGCCCAGACUCCUACGGGAGGCAGCAGUGGGGAAUAUUGCACAAUGGGCGCAAGCCUGAUGCAGCCAUGCCGCGUGUAUGAAGAAGGCCUUAGGGUUGUAAAGUACUUUCAGCGGGGAGGAAGGUGAUAAAGUUAAUACCUUUAUCAAUUGACGUUACCCGCAGAAGAAGCACCGGCUAACUCUGUGCCAGCAGCCGCU